UUCGAUUCGAGUGGUUGAAGA
This is a non-coding RNA of Caenorhabditis elegans, 21 nucleotides long. Lineage: Eukaryota; Metazoa; Nematoda; Chromadorea; Rhabditida; Rhabditidae. The record is from Ensembl.